This 163-nucleotide ribosomal RNA is filed under the name uncultured bacterium. RNAcentral's name for it is "partial 16S ribosomal RNA". It matches the Rfam family "Bacterial small subunit ribosomal RNA", at positions 355 to 510 of the family's 1533-position model. The record is from RNAcentral.
UAGGGAAUCUUCCACAAUGGACGCAAGUCUGAUGGAGCAACGCCGCGUGAGUGAAGAAGGGUUUCGGCUCGUAAAGCUCUGUUGUUAAAGAAGAACGUGGGUAAGAGUAACUGUUUACCCAGUGACGGUAUUUAACCAGAAAGCCACGGCUAACUACGUGCAG